CCUACGGGUGGCAGCAGUGGGGAAUAUUGGACAAUGGGCGAAAGCCUGAUCCAGCCAUGCCGCGUGUGUGAAGAAGGCCUUCGGGUUGUAAAGCACUUUCAGUGGGGAAGAAAGCCUUGGGGCUAAUACCCUCGAGGAAGGACAUCACCCACAGAAGAAGCACCGACUAACUCCGUGCCAGCAGCCGCGGUAAUACGGAGGGUGCGAGCGUUAAUCGGAAUUACUGGGCGUAAAGCGCGCGUAGGCGGUCUGAUAAGCCGGUUGUGAAAGCCCCGGGCUCAACCUGGGAACGGCAUCCGGAACUGUCAGGCUAGAGUGCAGGAGAGGAAGGUAGAAUUCCCGGUGUAGCGGUGAAAUGCGUAGAGAUCGGGAGGAAUACCAGUGGCGAAGGCGGCCUUCUGGACUGACACUGACGCUGAGGUGCGAAAGCGUGGGUAGCAAACAGGAUUAGAUACCCUAGUAGUC
RNAcentral lists this ribosomal RNA (465 nucleotides) under Vreelandella stevensii. Its description in RNAcentral is "partial 16S ribosomal RNA". It matches the Rfam family "Bacterial small subunit ribosomal RNA", at positions 338 to 795 of the family's 1533-position model. The record is from RNAcentral. Lineage: Bacteria; Pseudomonadati; Pseudomonadota; Gammaproteobacteria; Oceanospirillales; Halomonadaceae.